AUAUUUAAGUGAUGUUCAUAUGAAUUUUUGAAAUUCAAGAGUUUUAAUUUAAUUUAAAAAAAUAUAAG
Molecule: transfer RNA, 68 nt
Filed under: Aacanthocnema dobsoni
Lineage: Eukaryota; Metazoa; Arthropoda; Insecta; Hemiptera; Triozidae
Description: tRNA-Gln
Source: RNAcentral